UACGGAGGGGGCAAGCGUUGUUCGGAUUUACUGGGCGUAAAGGGCGCGUAGGCGGCGUGACAAGUCACUUGUGAAAUCUCCGGGCUUAACUCGGAACUGCCAAGUGAUACUGUCGUGCUAGAGUGCAGAAGGGGCAAUCGGAAUUCUUGGUGUAGCGGUGAAAUGCGUAGAUAUCAAGAGGAACACCAGAGGCGAAGGCGGAUUGCUGGGCUGACACUGACGCUGAGGAGCGAAAGCGUGGGGAGCGAACAGG
This 253-nucleotide ribosomal RNA is filed under the name uncultured bacterium. RNAcentral's name for it is "partial 16S ribosomal RNA". It matches the Rfam family "Bacterial small subunit ribosomal RNA", at positions 524 to 776 of the family's 1533-position model. The record is from RNAcentral.